Molecule: long non-coding RNA, 1920 nt
Filed under: Homo sapiens (human)
Lineage: Eukaryota; Metazoa; Chordata; Mammalia; Primates; Hominidae
Description: HSALNT0380464
Source: RNAcentral
CAGCUACUUCUCUCUGAGGACAAACUGCCUGGCAAACCAGCAGGGCCAGGCAAAUGAGGCCAAUUGGCAGCAAGGGCUGGGAUGGAGAUGUCAGAGAUUUAGAGGCUCUCAGGGUUGGAAGGGGGACCUCAAAUUUCAUCUAGGUCAAUGCUGUGUCCCCUUACCUGAGUCCUGUCUAUAAUAUCCCUCCCAAUAGUGGGCUAACCUCAGCUUGAAUGCUCCCGAUGAUGGAGCACUCAUUACCUCCUGGGACCACGAACUCAUCAAUGGGUGGUGCUGACUGUGCAAAAACCCUCCUUCAUUUUGAGCCUAAAUCUGUUUUCCAACAUGAAGAGAGAAGACCCCCGCAGUGGGUUCAUCCUUCUUCUGGCUCCAGCCCUCAGUGCUGCGAAGGAGCCGCAAGUCACUCUUCAUGAGGAAACAUGCCCGGUGUCUUGGGUGGGGGCAGAGGCACCACUGAUCCACAAAGAUGUGGUGUGAUUUUUUCCUCUCAGGGGACUUUGCUUGGGGGAGGGGCCACUGGGAAGAGCCAAGAAGCUGCUAGAAAAAAACUGAAGUCGUUCCUCCUUCUCAAGUGCGAAGUGAACCUGCAGCAGAACAUUAGAAACCCUGAUGCAGGCUAGCUCCGUCUGUGGGGACCGUUACAUGCUGGUUCUCUGUUGCCAGCUCCAGGGAGUCAGGGUCUAAUAGGAGCCACCCCAGGUAUUCCACUUAUAGUUAUAGCUCCAAGCAGGGGUCAUCAGCAGGGUGACUGGAACUCCCUGCGGUUCCAGAGAGCCACAGAUGCUCACCCAUGCUGGCUUUGGUAGGCAGGGAGCUCAGUAAGCCUCUCCGAGGCUCAGGAUUUUGCCAGUUUGGAAGAGCACUGGAUGAUUUGGAAGAGCACUGGAUUCCAAGCUUGGAAGAGCACUUGGAAGAGCACUGGAUUCCAAGCCAGCUUGGAAGAGCACACCUCCCAGGACCAAAUGUUGGACUGAAGCACUGGUGCAAAACAUAAAGACAAACAUUUCUCCUUAAGUAUUGAUCUUUUUAGCCUACGAGCUUCGGCGACAGGUGUCUUGCUGGUUAACCUAUUUCCAUCUCAUUACUUUGGCUUCUGCAAAUACAAUGCCGGGAAAGAUUAAAUACUGUAAGCUGUAUCCAGUCAGCUCUCCAUUAUCUGCAUUAAUCGAGGCCAGUACUGAGUGGGAUAAUCCACAGAAGUGCCUAGUCCCCAGAUCAUAUUUAAUUGAUUUGGGGUGGCAGUUGAUGGUGAGUGUGUGUACAUGUGUGCACACACACACACAUAUGCUUUUGGUGAGGGUGAGGAUCGAACUUACUCAUCUUUGAUGUGGCAUCAGGAUCCCAUUUUGGAGGCAGUCUCAUUUGGGGGCACACCAAGGGAAUCCCAGAAGCCUGCUAGAGGAGACAACAGGGCUUCUAGUCUCCCGACUUUUUGUAGGGAAGAAGAGGCAAAGUGAGAGUCCAGGUGUCCUCUGAGGGUGAGGGGGGCAGGUCCUGGUGGCAUUCUCCCUGCAGCAUGCCUCCCACCUGGAGCAGGUCAGGCGAUUUCCGGGUGAGCUACACAAACCCACUCAUUUGUUCUCUCUUUUGGCCGGGCGCAGUGGCUCAUGCCUAUAAUCCCAGCACUUUGGGAGGUCAAGGCGGCAAGAUCGCAUGAGGCCAGGAGUUCAAGACCAGCCUGAGCAACAUAGUGGUACCCUGUCUCUACAAAAAAUUUUAAAACUAGCCAGGCAUGGUGAUGCAUGUGUGUGGUCCUAGCUCCUUGGGAGGCUGAGGUGGGAGGAUUGCUUGGGCCCAGGAGUUUGAAGGCUGCAGUGAGCUAUGAUCACGCCUCUGUAUUCCAGCCUGAGCAAGGGAGUGAGACGCUGUCUGUAAAAAAUAAAAUAAAAUUAAAUAAAUUUAAAAACACACAAACCC